Molecule: long non-coding RNA, 1091 nt
Organism: Catharus ustulatus (Swainson's thrush)
Lineage: Eukaryota; Metazoa; Chordata; Aves; Passeriformes; Turdidae
Exons: 2
Source: RefSeq, a predicted model, not a curated record
AAAGCAAUCUACAGACCAAAAAAUGUGGUAAAGUCCAUGACCAGAGAUGGGAAACACACCUCUAAAAAGAGAUGCUACAGAUCUGAAGAAAAAAAGUGUUCAAAGAAACUGGAAGGAAUGGCAGAAAGACACAGAAAUAUAUUUCUCACAACAGCACUCUUGCAAUUCUGCUGUCAAUGGAGAGAAAACAGUUGAAGUAGAAAACCUCUGAGAGAUUUUCCUCCUGCAUCAUAAAAUAAAACUGUUUAUUACAAACUAUGGAAUGAGAAUGAUGAACAGUUAUGUGGGUGUUGCAGAAGUAAAGGGAGCAGAAGGAUGAGUUGACAAUGGACUUCUAUCUCACGACUUCCUACUUUCUCAUACAAUAUAUAGAGGAUGACAACCUCAAUAAUUUCUCUGUUCCUUCCCAGGAUGUCUGAGCAUCUGUACAUCAUUCAAAGGAAUGCCUAUGAACCACUGAAACGCCUCAAGAGGUAGGAACUCUAAGUAUACAUGUGGAAGGAAGCUGCAACAGCUAAAACUGAAGUCACAGGAAGUAAAAGUUGGAAACUGAAGCUCCAUAUCACGAACACAAAACUUUAGCUAUUGAGAGCACCUUCACUCCUCAUUUAAUUUUUCCCUCGGUUGCACCACUUCAUUUGCCAUGAGGAGUAUCAAAAAACAUAACUGUGAAUGAUCACAGUCCUCUCUUUAUCCAACCUGAGGGCUGACUGUGCAGGCAGGCUGGCUGCCACAGAACUCAGGAAGCAACAGAACUGCAGGGGUUUUCUGCCUUUCAAGCAGGGAGUGUUCAAAGAGAGUAAAGACAAGUAAGCCAGACCAGACCAGCUCCAUGGUGUUAUCUCUAAUGUCGAUUGCCAGAACUAGCUCAAAUGAAUCAAAGCAUGAGGAUCUUCACUCACCUUGUGGGGGCCCUACAGUCUCCCUGGGAACAUCCUACUGGUACCUUUACAUGGAAAGGUGGACUCUCCUCUGAGGUGGUUUGUUUCCACUGCCAAUGGGCAUGUUGACUUAAAAAUUAAAUAUCCCUACUGAGUGACAAAAUUUGGAGAAGUCUAAUCCAGAAAAUUAAACAGUGAAAUGUUUAGUCA